Molecule: ribosomal RNA, 497 nt
Filed under: uncultured bacterium
Lineage: Bacteria
Description: partial 16S ribosomal RNA
Rfam family: Bacterial small subunit ribosomal RNA
Source: RNAcentral
GAUGAACGCUGGCGGCGUGCCUAAUACAUGCAAGUCGAGCGAACAGACGAGGAGCUUGCUCCUCUGACGUUAGCGGCGGACGGGUGAGUAACACGUGGAUAACCUACCUAUAAGACUGGGAUAACUUCGGGAAACCGGAGCUAAUCCCGGAUAAUAUAUUGAACCGCAUGGUUCAAUAGUGAAAGACGGUUUUGCUGUCACUUAUAGAUGGAUCCGCGCCGCAUUAGCUAGUUGGUAAGGUAACGGCUUACCAAGGCAACGAUGCGUAGCCGACCUGUGAGGGUGAUCGGCCACACUGGAACUGAAACACGGUCCAGAGUCCUACGGGAGGCAGCAGUAGGGAAUCUGCCGCAAUGGGCGAAAGCCUGACGGAGCGACGCCGCGUGAGUGAUGAAGGUCUUCGGAGCGUAAAACUCUGUUAUGAGGGAAGAACAAAUGUGUAAGUAACUAUGCACGGCUUGACGGUACCUAAUCAGAAAGCCACGGCUAACUACGUG